GACGAACGCUGGCGGCGUGCUUAACACAUGCAAGUCGAACGGGGCGAAGUGAUAGCUUGCUAUUAUGGAGCCUAGUGGCAAACGGGUGAGUAACGCGUAGGCAACCUGCCCUUCAGAUGGGGACAACACCUCGAAAGGGGUGCUAAUACCGAAUGACGUUUCCUGGUCGCAUGACCUGGAAACCAAAGGCCGGGCAACCGGUCACUGAAGGAUGGGCCUGCGUCUGAUUAGCUAGUUGUGGGGUAACGGCCCACCAAGGCGACGAUCAGUAGCCGGUCUGAGAGGAUGAACGGCACAUUGGGACUGAGACACGGGCCCAAACUCCUACGGAGGCAGCAGUGGGGAAUC
Molecule: ribosomal RNA, 348 nt
Filed under: uncultured bacterium
Lineage: Bacteria
Description: bacterial SSU rRNA
Rfam family: Bacterial small subunit ribosomal RNA
Source: RNAcentral